AACGGCAGCACGGGUGCUUGCACCUGGUGGCGAGUGGCGAACGGGUGAGUAAUACAUCGGAACGUGUCCUGUAGUGGGGGAUAGCCCGGCGAAAGCCGGAUUAAUACCGCAUACGAUCUACGGAUGAAAGCGGGGGAUCUUCGGACCUCGCGCUAUAGGGGCGGCCGAUGGCGGAUUAGCUAGUUGGUGAGGUAAAGGCUCACCAAGGCGACGAUCCGUAGCUGGUCUGAGAGGACGACCAGCCACACUGGGACUGAGACACGGCCCAGACUCCUACGGGAGGCAGCAGUGGGGAAUUUUGGACAAUGGGCGAAAGCCUGAUCCAGCAAUGCCGCGUGUGUGAAGAAGGCCUUCGGGUUGUAAAGCACUUUUGUCCGGAAAGAAAUCCCUGGUCCUAAUAUGGCCGGGGGAUGACGGUACCGGAAGAAUAAGCACCGGCUAACUACGUGCCAGCAGCCGCGGUAAUACGUAGGGUGCAAGCGUUAAUCGGAAUUACUGGGCGUAAAGCGUGCGCAGGCGGUGAUGUAAGACCGAUGUGAAAUCCCCGGGCUCAACCUGGGAACUGCAUUGGUGACUGCAUCGCUUGAGUAUGGCAGAGGGGGGUAGAAUUCCACGUGUAGCAGUGAAAUGCGUAGAGAUGUGGAGGAAUACCGAUGGCGAAGGCAGCCCCCUGGGUCAAUACUGACGCUCAUGCACGAAAGCGUGGGGAGCAAACAGGAUUAGAUACCCUGGUAGUCCACGCCCUAAACGAUGUCAACUGGUUGUCGGGUCUUCAUUGACUUGGUAACGUAGCUAACGCGUGAAGUUGACCGCCUGGGGAGUACGGUCGCAAGAUUAAAACUCAAAGGAAUUGACGGGGACCCGCACAAGCGGUGGAUGAUGUGGAUUAAUUCGAUGCAACGCGAAAAACCUUACCUACCCUUGACAUGUACGGAAUUCCGCUGAGAGGUGGAAGUGCCCGAAAGGGAGCCGUAACACAGGUGCUG
RNAcentral lists this ribosomal RNA (986 nucleotides) under bacterium W13(2010). RNAcentral's name for it is "bacterial SSU rRNA". It matches the Rfam family "Bacterial small subunit ribosomal RNA", at positions 65 to 1043 of the family's 1533-position model. The record is from RNAcentral.